This 468-nucleotide ribosomal RNA is filed under the name uncultured bacterium. RNAcentral's name for it is "partial 16S ribosomal RNA". It matches the Rfam family "Bacterial small subunit ribosomal RNA", at positions 28 to 507 of the family's 1533-position model. The record is from RNAcentral.
GACGAACGCUGGCGGCGUGCUUAACACAUGCAAGUCGAACGGAAGGGCCCUGCUUUUGUGGGGUGCUCGAGUGGCGAACGGGUGAGUAACACGUGAGUAACCUGCCCUUGACUUUGGGAUAACUUCAGGAAACUGGGGCUAAUACCGGAUAGGAGCUCCUGCUGCAUGGUGGGGGUUGGAAAGUUUCGGCGGUUGGGGAUGGACUCGCGGCUUAUCAGCUUGUUGGUGGGGUAGUGGCUUACCAAGGCUUUGACGGGUAGCCGGCCUGAGAGGGUGACCGGGCACAUUGGGACUGCGAUACGGCCCAGACUCCUACGGGAGGCAGCAGUGGGGAAUAUUGCACAAUGGGCGGAAGCCUGAUGCAGCAACGCCGCGUGCGGGAUGACGGCCUUCGGGUUGUAAACCGCUUUCGCCUGUGACGAAGCGUGAGUGACGGUAAUGGGUAAAGAAGCACCGGCUAACUACGUG